This 492-nucleotide ribosomal RNA is filed under the name uncultured bacterium. RNAcentral describes it as "partial 16S ribosomal RNA". It matches the Rfam family "Bacterial small subunit ribosomal RNA", at positions 29 to 507 of the family's 1533-position model. The record is from RNAcentral.
AGUGAACGCUGGCGGUAGGCCUAACACAUGCAAGUCGAACGGCAGCACAGUAAGAGCUUGCUCUUACGGGUGGCGAGUGGCGGACGGGUGAGGAAUACAUCGGAAUCUACUUUUUCUUGGGGGAUAACGUAGGGAAACUUACGCUAAUACCGCAUACGACCUACGGGUGAAAGCAUGGGAUCUUCGGACCUUGCGCGAUUGAAUGAGCCGAUGUCGGAUUAGCUAGUUGGCGGGGUAAAGGCCCACCAAAGCGACGAUACGUAGAUGGGCUGAGCGGAUGAGAAGCCCCCCUGGAAUGGAGCCACGGCACAGACUACUCUGGGAGGCAGCAGUGGGGAAUAUUGGACAAGGGGAGGAACGCUGGCCUAGACAUACCGCGUGGGUGACGAAGUCCUGCGGGUUUGAAAGCUAUUCUGUUGGGAAAGAAAAGUAGCGGCUUAAUCCUGCGAUGUUCUGACGGUACCAAACGAAUAAGCACCGGCUAACUCCGUG